CUAAAGCUGGGGCUGCACUCCUGCAGCAUCUGGCCCUGCAAAUACUCCUUCAUCCACCUGCUGAGGAGGAGACAAGCCUGGCCACACGUUGGUUUUGUGCUGUGCAUGGUUCAGCCACCUGGGCUAAGCAGCACUAAUAAAUCCUCACCCUGCUAGAAACUUCUUGAUAACUGAUAUUCUCGUGCUCCUUCUGAGCCUCAGCUGCUCUCCUUCAGCAGGAAUGCUCAAAUGCUCUGCCGGGUAUUUUGAGGGAGAGGAAAGACCAGAUAAGUCAGUAGCAGGGUGCAUUAAAAGGAAAGAACAGAGUGUUCUUACCUCUCAGAUGAGCUCAGGAGUAGCUGUAGGUUUGCUGGUUAGGCCAGAAAGUGGGGAAAAAGAAAAUGUCCCACCGGCUUAUAUAGGCUAGCAUGGCUCCUGUCCUGAUAUUACUGAUUUGUUUCUCCUCCCACUUGGUGAGCUCCAAGUGAAUGUUAAGAAGGUUCCCUGUUGAAUUCUCCACCUUUCCUCUUGCUCUAUCCUGGGUCUCUUGCCAAUAAUCUGUCCAAAUGUCCUCUUUCUUGCUGUUUUUUU
Molecule: non-coding RNA, 570 nt
Organism: Sturnus vulgaris (Common starling)
Lineage: Eukaryota; Metazoa; Chordata; Aves; Passeriformes; Sturnidae
Source: RefSeq, a predicted model, not a curated record